GACGAACGCUGGCGGCGUGCUUAACACAUGCAAGUCGAACGGAAAGGCCCUGCUUUUGUGGGGUGCUCGAGUGGCGAACGGGUGAGUAACACGUGAGUAACCUGCCCUUGACUUUGGGAUAACUUCAGGAAACUGGGGCUAAUACCGGAUAGGAGCUCCUGCUGCAUGGUGGGGGUUGGAAAGUUUCGGCGGUUGGGGAUGGACUCGCGGCUUAUCAGCUUGUCGGUGGGGUAGUGGCUUACCAAGGCUUUGACGGGUAGCCGGCCUGAGAGGGUGACCGGCCACAUUGGGACUGAGAUACGGCCCAGACUCCUACGGGAGGCAGCAGUGGGGAAUAUUGCACAAUGGGCGGAGGCCUGAUGCAGCAACGCCGCGUGCGGGAUGACGGCCUUCGGGUUGUAAACCGCUUUCGCCUGUGACGAAGCGUGAGUGACGGUAAUGGGUAAAGAAGCACCGGCUAACUACGUG
This 468-nucleotide ribosomal RNA is filed under the name uncultured bacterium. RNAcentral's name for it is "partial 16S ribosomal RNA". It matches the Rfam family "Bacterial small subunit ribosomal RNA", at positions 28 to 507 of the family's 1533-position model. The record is from RNAcentral.